This 456-nucleotide ribosomal RNA is filed under the name uncultured bacterium. Its description in RNAcentral is "bacterial SSU rRNA". It matches the Rfam family "Bacterial small subunit ribosomal RNA", at positions 28 to 507 of the family's 1533-position model. The record is from RNAcentral.
GGUGAACGCUGGGCGGCGUGCCUAACACAUGCAAGUCGAGCGGUGCAGUUUGAAGCUUCGGUGGAAAGCUGCAUAGCGGCGGACGGGUGAGGAAAACGUAGGAACGUGCCCCUUGGAGUUGGAUAGCCACGGGAAACUGUGGGUAAACCGACAUAGACUCGAGAGAGUAAAGGCCGAAAGGCGCCAAGGGAGCGGCCUGCGGCCCAUCAGGUAGUUGGUAGUGUAAAGGACUACCAAGCCGACGACGGGUAGCCGGUCUGAGAGGAUGGCCGGCCACAAGGGCACUGAGAGACGGGCCCUACUCCUACGGGAGGCAGCAGUGGGGGAUUUUGGACAAUGGGCGAAAGCCUGAUCCAGCGACGCCGCGUGGAGGACGAAGCCCUUCGGGGUGUAAACUCCUUUUCUCAGGGAAAAAGGAUGAUGGUACCUGAGGAAUAAGCCCCGGCUAACUACGUG